RNAcentral lists this long non-coding RNA (532 nucleotides) under Apteryx rowi (Okarito brown kiwi). RNAcentral describes it as "lncRNA (ENSARWG00000012812.1)". Lineage: Eukaryota; Metazoa; Chordata; Aves; Apterygiformes; Apterygidae. The record is from RNAcentral.
GCCAAAUGUGUUGACACAAACCAAAAAGAAGCACACGUGAGCUCAAAAAGUCUGCAAGCAUAAGAUAAGCUUCUGGCAGACCUGAUGGUAGACUCUUUACACGUUUUCUAGUCUAGUGGUGUUUUAAUGUUUCUUGCCUCAAGAGUUACUUCCUUGUAAUCUGAUCCUCCUCUCAUACUGCUGCAACAUUAUUUCCUGCAUGAAUGCUUACGUUAUGGGGCUGAAGGAAGUACAGAGAGAAAGACCACCUCUCCAAUGCCUCCCCAUGUAGACAAGAUUUCCUGCCAUAACGACAUUUUUACUGAUGGUCCAGCAGAAAGACAACACACAGCACAGCAAUAUAGAGGGACCCCAGCUACUCCCUCCAUUCAAAAUCUACUGUGAAACUCUCACUGAAGGCAAUAAGGGAAGAUUUAGACCUUCUAAUUCAAUUAUAAUUAACCCAGACUCAGGCUUCUCUUUCAUGAUAUAUCUGGAAGCGAAAAUGGUACAAGUGAGUAAGCAGACAAGCACAUGGCCAGGGUUGUUAUAG